This 744-nucleotide ribosomal RNA is filed under the name uncultured Bacillota bacterium. RNAcentral describes it as "bacterial SSU rRNA". It matches the Rfam family "Bacterial small subunit ribosomal RNA", at positions 57 to 782 of the family's 1533-position model. The record is from RNAcentral. Lineage: Bacteria; Bacillati; Bacillota.
GCAAGUCGAGCGCGAAGAUCAGGAGCUUGCUCCUGAGAUUCGAGCGGCGGACGGGUGAGUAACACGUAGGCAACCUACCCUUGAGAUUGGGAUAACUACCGGAAACGGUAGCUAAUACCGGAUACGACAUUCCUGCAUAAGUAAGAAUGUUAAAAGGCGGAUUUAUCUGCCGCUCAUGGAUGGGCCUGCGGUGCAUUAGCUAGUUGGUGAGAUAGUAGCUCACCAAGGCGACGAUGCAUAGCCGACCUGAGAGGGUGAUCGGCCACACUGGGACUGAGACACGGCCCAGACUCCUACGGGAGGCAGCAGUAGGGAAUCUUCCGCAAUGGACGCAAGUCUGACGGAGCAACGCCGCGUGAGUGAUGAAGGGUUUCGGCUCGUAAAACUCUGUUGUUAAGGAAGAACACUUGAGGUAGUAACUGGCCUUGAGAUGACGGUACUUAACCAGAAAGCCACGGCUAACUACGUGCCAGCAGCCGCGGUAAUACGUAGGUGGCAAGCGUUAUCCGGAAUUAUUGGGCGUAAAGCGCGCGUAGGCGGUAAAAUAAGUCUGAUGUGAAAGCCCCCGGCUCAACCGGGGAGGGUCAUUGGAAACUGUUUUACUUGAGUACAGAAGAGGAGAGUGGAAUUCCAUGUGUAGCGGUGAAAUGCGCAGAGAUAUGGAGGAACACCAGUGGCGAAGGCGGCUCUCUGGUCUGUAACUGACGCUGAGGUGCGAAAGCGUGGGGAUCAAACAGGAUUAGA